Molecule: ribosomal RNA, 894 nt
Filed under: uncultured bacterium
Lineage: Bacteria
Description: bacterial SSU rRNA
Rfam family: Bacterial small subunit ribosomal RNA
Source: RNAcentral
AGAGUUUGAUCAUGGCUCAGGACGAACGCUGGCGGCGUGCUUAACACAUGCAAGUCGAGCGGAGGUAUUGAAGAUUUAUCUGAAAAUACUUUAGCGGCGGACGGGUGAGUAACACGUGGGUAAUCUGGCCUUAAGAGGGGGAUAACAGGAUGAAAAUCCUGCUAAUACCGCAUAAUUCUUAGAUAUCGCAUGGUAUUUAAGACAAAGAUUUAUCGCUUAAGGAUGAGCCCGCGGCGCAUUAGCUAGUUGGUGGGGUAACGGCCUACCAAGGCGACGAUGCGUAGCCGACCUGAGAGGGUGAUCGGCCACAUUGGAACUGAGACACGGUCCAGACUCCUACGGGAGGCAGCAGUGGGGAAUAUUGCACAAUGGGGGAAACCCUGAUGCAGCAACGCCGCGUGAGUGAAGAAGGCCUUCGGGUUGUAAAGCUCUGUCUUCGCUGAAGAUAAUGACGGUAAGCGAGGAGGAAGCCACGGCUAACUACGUGCCAGCAGCCGCGGUAGUACGUAGGUGGCAAGCGUUGUCCGGAAUUAUUGGGCGUAAAGGGUGCGUAGGCGGCUCUUUAAGUGGGAUGUGAAAUCCCCGGGCUUAACCCGGGAAUUGCAUUCCAAACUGGGGAGCUAGAGUGCAGGAGAGGAAAGUGGAAUUCCCAGUGUAGCGGUGAAAUGCGUAGAGAUUGGGAGGAACACCAGUGGCGAAGGCGACUUUCUGGACUGUAACUGACGCUGAGGCACGAAAGUGUGGGGAGCAAACAGGAUUAGAUACCCUGGUAGUCCACACUGUAAACUAUGGGUACUAGGUGUAGGGGGCGAAGCCCUCUGUGCCGCAGUAAACACAUUAAGUACCCCGCCUGGGAAGUACGAACGCAAGUUUAAAACUCAAAGGAAUUGACGG